AGCCCAGCGUGAAGGCCUUAUCACUCCGGUGUUAAGGCGGUGCCACGUUAAUGACUUGUCAUAAUGUUUUGCUGAAGCUUCGUGAAUGCUUUUGAAUAAGCUCAUUUUAGCCGAAGAGGGUGCAAGCCCCUUGGCGUUGUGGACGCAAAGCAUAGACUUGUCAUGAUAGAGUCGGGUUGCUUGAAAGUGCAACCUAAAGUAGAUGGUAAGCUCCAUCUAAGGCUAAAUAUCGCUGUGAGACCGAUAGCAAACAAGUACCGUGAGGGAAAGUUGCAAAGAACUUUGAAGAGAGAGUUCAAUAGGACGUGAAACCGUUUGCAGGUAAACAGAUGGACCCACGAAGUCCGGUUGAUCAGAGGAUUCAAAUCUUGCAAUUUGUUCUCNGCAAGUAAUUGCUUCCUUGACGGAAGUGUAUGCUUGUGUGAGUGCGUUUGUUAGAUGCAUUUUCUCUGAUCACGAUGGAGCUCUGACUGCUAAAUGACUUUCAUUGUGUAGGGCGGCUUCUUGCUGGGAGAUGAACCUUAGGGAUCAAUUCUACAGCUUGAGGUUUCAGUGAAGUCAUUUCAAGUGGUUGAAGUACUCACUUCGGUGAGUGUUCAGGUUGUCGAUGAUUGUUUUAAGCAGAUCGUGCAGGUAUUCAUUCUUUCGGCUCUUGAAGUUGAAAAGUGAAUAUUAUGCAGG
This 681-nucleotide ribosomal RNA is filed under the name Arrenurus intermedius. RNAcentral describes it as "eukaryotic LSU rRNA". It matches the Rfam family "Eukaryotic large subunit ribosomal RNA", at positions 106 to 634 of the family's 3401-position model. The record is from RNAcentral. Lineage: Eukaryota; Metazoa; Arthropoda; Arachnida; Trombidiformes; Arrenuridae.